RNAcentral lists this ribosomal RNA (390 nucleotides) under uncultured bacterium. RNAcentral's name for it is "bacterial SSU rRNA". It matches the Rfam family "Bacterial small subunit ribosomal RNA", at positions 28 to 417 of the family's 1533-position model. The record is from RNAcentral.
GACGAACGCUGGCGGCGUGCUUAACACAUGCAAGUCGAGCGGUAAGGCCCUUUCGGGGGGUACACGAGCGGCGAACGGGUGAGUAACACGUGGGUGACCUGCCCUCAGCUCUGGGAUAAGCCUGGGAAACUGGGUCUAAUACUGGAUAUGACUCCACGGUGCAUGUCGUGGGGUGGAAAGCCUUGUGCGGCUGAGGAUGGGCCCGCGGCCUAUCAGCUUGUUGGUGGGGUGAUGGCCUACCAAGGCGACGACGGGUAGCCGGCCUGAGAGGGCGACCGGCCACACUGGGACUGAGACACGGCCCAGACUCCUACGGGAGGCAGCAGUGGGGGAAUCUUGCGCAAUGGGCGAAAGCCUGACGCAGCGACGCCGCGUGAGGGAUGACGGCCU